Molecule: ribosomal RNA, 585 nt
Filed under: Lodderomyces parapsilosis
Lineage: Eukaryota; Fungi; Ascomycota; Pichiomycetes; Serinales; Debaryomycetaceae
Description: eukaryotic LSU rRNA
Rfam family: Eukaryotic large subunit ribosomal RNA
Source: RNAcentral
GAGGAAAAGAAACCAACAGGGAUUGCCUUAGUAGCGGCGAGUGAAGCGGCAAAAGCUCAAAUUUGAAAUCUGGCACUUUCAGUGUCCGAGUUGUAAUUUGAAGAAGGUAUCUUUGGGUCUGGCUCUUGUCUAUGUUUCUUGGAACAGAACGUCACAGAGGGUGAGAAUCCCGUGCGAUGAGAUGUCCCAGACCUAUGUAAAGUUCCUUCGAAGAGUCGAGUUGUUUGGGAAUGCAGCUCUAAGUGGGUGGUAAAUUCCAUCUAAAGCUAAAUAUUGGCGAGAGACCGAUAGCGAACAAGUACAGUGAUGGAAAGAUGAAAAGAACUUUGAAAAGAGAGUGAAAAAGUACGUGAAAUUGUUGAAAGGGAAGGGCUUGAGAUCAGACUUGGUAUUUUGUAUGUUACUCUCUCGGGGGUGGCCUCUACAGUUUACCGGGCCAGCAUCAGUUUGAGCGGUAGGAUAAGUGCAAAGAAAUGUGGCACUGCUUCGGUAGUGUGUUAUAGUCUUUGUCGAUACUGCCAGCUUAGACUGAGGACUGCGGCUUCGGCCUAGGAUGUUGGCAUAAUGAUCUUAAGUCGCCCGUCU